This 73-nucleotide transfer RNA is filed under the name subsurface metagenome. RNAcentral's name for it is "tRNA-Gly". It matches the Rfam family "tRNA". From Rfam's summary of the family: Transfer RNA (tRNA) molecules are approximately 80 nucleotides in length. Their secondary structure includes four short double-helical elements and three loops (D, anti-codon, and T loops). The record is from RNAcentral.
GCGGACAUAGCUCAGCGGUAGAGUACGAGCUUCCCAAGCUCGGUGUCGCGGGUUCGAAUCCCGUUGUCCGCUC